RNAcentral lists this ribosomal RNA (253 nucleotides) under uncultured bacterium. RNAcentral's name for it is "partial 16S ribosomal RNA". It matches the Rfam family "Bacterial small subunit ribosomal RNA", at positions 524 to 776 of the family's 1533-position model. The record is from RNAcentral.
UACAGAGGGGGCAAGCGUUAUUCGGAAUUAUUGGGCGUAAAGGGCGCGUAGGCGGCAUGGCAAGUGGAUGGUGAAAUCCCUCGGCUUAACCGAGGAACUGCCGUCCAAACUGCUUCGCUUGAGACCGGGAGAGGUGAGUGGAAUUCCCAGUGUAGCGGUGAAAUGCGUAGAUAUUGGGAGGAACACCAGUGGCGAAGGCGGCUCACUGGACCGGUACUGACGCUGACGCGCGAAAGCGUGGGGAGCAAACGGG